This 404-nucleotide long non-coding RNA is filed under the name Elaeis guineensis (African oil palm). RNAcentral describes it as "long non-coding RNA (EGUI_LNC065949)". The record is from RNAcentral. Lineage: Eukaryota; Viridiplantae; Streptophyta; Magnoliopsida; Arecales; Arecaceae.
GCGCGUUAAAUGCUGACAUAUCCGAGGGCGGUUGCACCGAGACGUCAGAAGGGGAACUUCGACUACGACAACCUCUCUGAACUUUCUUCAUUCGAAAUUCAAACUCGGAAGUGGGGGGACUGGUGUUGGGUAUGAAAUACCCUCGACCGAAGUUUUUGGCGGAAUUGACCCUCACAAGUCUCUUCCGACCUUCGACUGCAAGUUGACUCCACCCGGACUUCUACGAAAGCCGGACUCCGUCCUCAACUUCAACUACCAGUAAGCUCCGCCCGGACUCCUACGGGAGUCGGGCUCCGUCCGCAACUCCAAGGAGGACUCCGCCCGGACUCCUAUGGGAGCCGGGCUCCGUCCGCGACUCCAAGGAAGACUCCGCCCAGACUCCUACAGGAGCCGGGCUCCGUCUG